RNAcentral lists this ribosomal RNA (254 nucleotides) under uncultured bacterium. RNAcentral's name for it is "partial 16S ribosomal RNA". It matches the Rfam family "Bacterial small subunit ribosomal RNA", at positions 524 to 776 of the family's 1533-position model. The record is from RNAcentral.
UACGAGGGGGGCAAGCGUUAUUCAAUUUAACUGGGCGUAAAGGGCUCGUAGGCGGCCAACUAAGUCAAACGUGAAAUCCCUCGGCUUAACCGGGGAACUGCGCUUGAUACUGGAUGGCUUGAGAUUGGGAGAGGGAUGCGGAAUUCCAGGUGUAGCGGUGAAAUGCGUAGAUAUCUGGAGGAACACCGGUGGCGAAGGCGGCAUCCUGGACCAACACUGACGCUGAGUGAGCGAAAGCCAGGGGAGCAAACGGG